GAUGAACGCUGGCGGCGUGCCUAAUACAUGCAAGUCGAGCGAACAGAUAAGGAGCUUGCUCCUUUGACGUUAGCGGCGGACGGGUGAGUAACACGUGGGUAACCUACCUAUAAGACUGGAAUAACUCCGGGAAACCGGAGCUAAUGCCGGAUAACAUUUAGAACCGCAGGGUUCUAAAGUGAAAGAUGGUUUUGCUAUCCCUUAUAGAUGGACCCGCGCCGUAUUAGCUAGUUGGUAAGGUAACGGCUUACCAAGGCAACGAUACGUAGCCGACCUGAGAGGGUGAUCGGCCACACUGGAACUGAGACACGGUCCAGACUCCUACGGGAGGCAGCAGUAGGGAAUCUUCCGCAAUGGGCGAAAGCCUGAUGGAGCCACGCCGCGUGAGUGAUGAAGGUCUUCGGAUCGUAAAACUCUGUUAUUAGGGAAGAACAAAUGUGUAAGUAACUGUGCACGUCUUGACGGUACCUAAUCAGAAAGCCACGGCUAACUACGUG
RNAcentral lists this ribosomal RNA (497 nucleotides) under uncultured bacterium. Its description in RNAcentral is "partial 16S ribosomal RNA". It matches the Rfam family "Bacterial small subunit ribosomal RNA", at positions 28 to 507 of the family's 1533-position model. The record is from RNAcentral.